UUGACGGGGACCCGCACAAGCGGUGGAUGAUGUGGAUUAAUUCGAUGCAACGCGAAGAACCUUACCUACCCUUGACAUGUCCGGAACUUGCCAGAGAUGGCUUGGUGCCGAAAGGGAAUCGGAACACAGGUGCUGCAUGGCUGUCGUCAGCUCGUGUCGUGAGAUGUUGGGUUAAGUCCCGCAACGAGCGCAACCCUUAUCAUUAGUUGCUACGCAAGGGCACUCUAAUGAGACUGCCGGUGACAAACCGGAGGAAGGUGGGGAUGACGUCAAGUCCUCAUGGCCCUUAUGGGUAGGGCUUCACACGUCAUACAAUGGUCGGUACAGAGGGUUGCCAAGCCGCGAGGCGGAGCCAAUCCCACAAAGCCGAUCGUAGUCCGGAUUGUUCUCUGCAACUCGACGAGCAUGAAGUCGGAAUCGCUAGUAAUCGCGGAUCAGCAUGUCGCGGUGAAUACGUUCCCGGGUCUU
RNAcentral lists this ribosomal RNA (468 nucleotides) under uncultured Thiobacillus sp. RNAcentral describes it as "bacterial SSU rRNA". It matches the Rfam family "Bacterial small subunit ribosomal RNA", at positions 910 to 1382 of the family's 1533-position model. The record is from RNAcentral. Lineage: Bacteria; Pseudomonadati; Pseudomonadota; Betaproteobacteria; Nitrosomonadales; Thiobacillaceae.